UUAUGUCCACUAGCACCAAACGCAUAAAAGGAAGCAUCCGAGAAGCACCGGUCAGCCUGCAUGCCUUCUUACGUACUAAAAGUGUGCAUAUUUUUCUCCUCUUAAACCUUUUUCUUCUUCCUCUAGUAUCUUUUCAUCCUCCACGCCUGAAUUUCCCUAAAUCCAUCUAAUUAUUUUUUCAAACAGUCCCAUAUACAUACAUAGUUUUUCAGUUAUCCAUACUUGUUGUAUAUAAUACUACUAUAUAUAAACAGAGUCAAACGAUGAAAGAUAUUAUCGUCACAUUAAAACCAUCCAUGACCAUAUCCAAAUUCAUCUUUUUUGGUACCCUUACAUCAAUACCAAUCCUCCUUUUUCUCUGUAACAGAUCCUCCUCCUCCUCCGCCCUCAUCUCCACCACAACAUCAAAUUCCUAUUCCGAUCUCAAAAUCCGACCCGGAUAUGCCACCUACGAUUCCUACAUCAAGAAACAGCUUAACAAAACCCUCAAUCCAACACUCCGUAAAAUAUGGACGACACGUGAUUGGGAUCGGAAAAUUCAAGUUUUUUCAAAAUUCUUCGGCGAACUCAAAACCAGAAAGCUCGUCUCAGACUCAUCGAAGGUCCUCUGCAUUGGUGCCCGUAUGGGUCAGGAAGUGGAAGCGUUGAAACGGGUCGGGGUACAAGAUUCAAUCGGAAUCGACCUGGUACCCUACCCGCCAUUAGUGGUAAAAGGCGAUUUUCAUAACCAACCGUUCGAUGAUCACAUAUUUGAUCUGGAAUUCUCCAACGUGUUUGAUCAUGCUCUUUUUCCGGAGAAGUUCGUUUCGGAGAUAGAACGGACGUUGAAGCCCAGCGGGGUUUGCGUAUUACAUGUGGCCUUAUCUAGACGAGCCGAUAAAUAUUCAGCCAAUGAUUUGUAUAGUGUUGAACCCUUGAAGAAACUGUUUAAGCGGUCCGAGUUGCUUCACACUCGAACCGUUGAUGGGUUCGGUUUGGAUACGGAAGUUGUUUUCAGGAAAAAAAGAUGAUCGAACCGGUUCGUAUUUUCUUUUUAUUUUUAUUCCAGUUGGAUUAAUGUUUGAUAUUAAAUUCUUUUUAAAGUUUAGUAGUAGUUGACUUCGGGAAAUAUCUAUUUUUUAAGUUCUACCGAUGUGUUCGAAAAGCAGAUUGAACAGACAUAGCAGACACUUAUUUUGAAAGACAUGCUAAUAUUUUUGUAAACAAUACUGUUAAUGAUGACUUCAGUUCCUUCGUUUUGAAU
This is an RNA transcript of Capsicum annuum, 1243 nucleotides long. RefSeq lists it as uncharacterized. The transcript has a single exon. The record is from RefSeq and is a predicted model, not a curated record. NCBI's taxonomy places the organism in Eukaryota, Viridiplantae, Streptophyta, Magnoliopsida, Solanales, Solanaceae.